AAUAAGCGCAGUCACAAGUUUUCAUGUUCAAUUUUGAUCGUCCGUCUUAUUUAAAUUUUUUUAUGAUUUCUAUUUUUUGUUAUUAGAUUAUAAAACAUGAAUAAUACUUUAUGCGUUAUUUAAAUUUUUUUUAGUUUUUUAAAAAAAUUUAAAAUAAGACGAACGAUUAAAAUUGGACACGGAAACUCAUAGUUGCGUUUAUU
Molecule: non-coding RNA, 203 nt
Organism: Oryza meridionalis
Lineage: Eukaryota; Viridiplantae; Streptophyta; Magnoliopsida; Poales; Poaceae
Source: Rfam